This 406-nucleotide ribosomal RNA is filed under the name uncultured bacterium. RNAcentral's name for it is "partial 16S ribosomal RNA". It matches the Rfam family "Bacterial small subunit ribosomal RNA", at positions 30 to 526 of the family's 1533-position model. The record is from RNAcentral.
AUUGAACGCUGGCGGCAGGCCUAACACAUGCAAGUCGAGCGAGUGGCGGACGGGUGAGUAAUGUAUGGUGAACUGCCUGAUAGAGGGGGAUAACUACUGGAAACGGUGGCUAAUACCGCAUACUAUCUGAUGUACCCAUAUGGGAUUAGCUAGUAGGUGGGGUAAAGGCUCUCCUAGGCGACGAUCCCUAGCUGGUCUGAGAGGAUGAUAAGCAACACCGGCACCUGGACACGGCCCAGGCUGCUUCGUCGGGAGCGAGUGGUGAGUAUAGCACAAUGGGCGCUAGCCUAUGGCAGCGAUGCCGCGGGUAUGAAGAAGGCCUUCGUGUUGUACAAUACUUGCAGCGUGUAGUCGGCACCCGCAGACGCAGCCCCGGCUAACUCCGUGCCAGCCGCCGCGGUAAUUC